CCUACGGGUGGCUGCAGUGGGGAAUAUUGCACAAUGGGCGCAAGCCUGAUGCAGCCAUGCCGCGUGUGUGAAGAAGGCCUUCGGGUUGUAAAGCACUUUCAGCGGGGAGAAAGGCGGUGAGGUUAAUAACCUCAUCGAUUGACGUUACCCGCAGAAGAAGCACCGGCUAACUCCGUGCCAGCAGCCGCGGUAAUACGGAGGGUGCAAGCGUUAAUCGGAAUUACUGGGCGUAAAGCGCACGCAGGCGGUCUGUCAAGUCGGAUGUGAAAUCCCCGGGCUCAACCUGGGAACUGCAUUCGAAACUGGCAGGCUAGAGUCUUGUAGAGGGGGGUAGAAUUCCAGGUGUAGCGGUGAAAUGCGUAGAGAUCUGGAGGAAUACUGGUGGCGAAGGCGGCCCCCUGGACAAAGACUGACGCUCAGGUGCGAAAGCGUGGGGAGCAAACAGGAUUAGAUACCCUAGUAGUC
Molecule: ribosomal RNA, 465 nt
Filed under: uncultured Klebsiella sp.
Lineage: Bacteria; Pseudomonadati; Pseudomonadota; Gammaproteobacteria; Enterobacterales; Enterobacteriaceae
Description: bacterial SSU rRNA
Rfam family: Bacterial small subunit ribosomal RNA
Source: RNAcentral